Molecule: ribosomal RNA, 393 nt
Filed under: uncultured bacterium
Lineage: Bacteria
Description: partial 16S ribosomal RNA
Rfam family: Bacterial small subunit ribosomal RNA
Source: RNAcentral
AUACGGAGGGUGCAAGCGUUAAUCGGAAUCACUGGGCGUAAAGCGCGCGUAGGCCGCUUUGUAAGUCGGACGUGAAAGCCCUCGGCUCAACCGGGGAACUGCGUUCGAUACCGCGCGGCUUGAGUCCUGGAGAGGGUGGCGGAAUUCCGGGUGUAGGAGUUAAAUCCGUAGAUAUCAGGAGGAACACCGGUGGCGAAGCCGGCCACCUGGACAGGUACUGACGCUGAGGCGCGAAGGCGUGGGGAGCAAACAGGAUUAGAUCCCCUGGUAGUCCACGCCGUAAACGAUGGAUGCUAGGUGUCGGGGAGCGAUCCUCGGUGCCGGAGUUAACGCAUUAAGCAUCCCGCCUGGGGAGUACGGUCGCAAGGCUGAAACUCAAAUGAAUUGGCGGGG